GCAAAAGCAAAAGGAAGCUUCAGACGUCAUUGUAAGCUUCCUAAUAGUCUUCCAAAACAAUUUCCUAAUCAUCUCCUCAAAUCCCGUGACUAUUCCUUUCCUUCAACAUCUCUCCUUUUUCACCUUCCUGUGUAUAUAAUCUCUAAUGACCAAUUGGGCACUACGCCGUGGGGAGGAGCAGUGGAGCACAUCAUGCAUGGAUGCCCAUGCUGCUCACCAACCGCCGUGGUCGCCGCUGCACGGAAUACCACCAUGAGCACGGCCUCCUCAGCUGCUCCGACUCUCCGUAGUACUGCUCCUCCAGCUACCGGCCCUUCCCCUUCUAUUUUGAAUUUUCUAGAACAAUGGGUAAGCAGCUACCAACUAUGAAUGGAAUAAGUCUAAAAAGAAGCUUGGGUAUGCUGAUAUGUGCCUUCAGGUUAUAAGAUAAGGGAGCAAGUGAAACAACCCAGAAGCUUAUGAUAUUGUUACUGUGGAGAUACCCGGAAGCUUGCAUAUCCAGAAUCGAUCUUCACUUCAGCUACAAGUGAGGUAUAUUGAGCCUAUUGAUGCAUAGUUACAUAAAGAUAGAAGAAUUGGUUGCACUUUGUCAUUAUUACUUGUUUCUACAAGUAGCUCUCUACAUCUGGUUCCUGUAACGAGUAGUCUAUCUAUGGUUUGUUGGACAUGAUUAUUUACUUUGUUUACUUUUGAGAUCUACAUCUUAAAGAAAAAUCUCUGAAAUAUUCAUUAUACAAGGAGUUACAAACUUACAAUACUAUCAUGUUGUACUAAUACACAAGUAUUUUCUCAUGUUAACGGGAUUUCCCAGUAUAUGAUCCUUCCACAAAAAAAAUUGAUGCUUCUGCUUCUUUUCUUUCUGUACCACCGUCGAGAUUGCUGAUAUACAGAGGUAUUGCUGCCGAGCGUGACACCGCGCCGAUCUAUUUGAGCCCAACUGCAUCAAUUUUAGACGGAAGAUAAUGAUGCAAGGAGACCACCUGAGCACCUCCACUCCCUCAACACUGUCCCCCUACUGCCUGAGUUUACUGAAUAUUUUUUCUUGCUUCAACUAUAUCAAGGGAGCAAGUGCAACAACCCAGAAGCUUAUGAUAUUGCUACUGUGGAGAUACCCGGAAGCUUGCAUUGAUCCAGAAUCGAUCUUCACUUCAGCUACAAGUGAGAUGCAUUUCACUACGUGGCUAUGUGCACAUAAAUCAGUCAAGGAGCAGGCUUCAGUGAAGUGUGAUCCAGUACAUUUGUGAACAUUGUGCAGUUCUUGCUGAAUUCUGGACUUGACUGAACGGGUUCCCCCUAUUCCAAAUUUCUUUUUAAGUAUUUGGCAGUUAUCUUCAGCGUCCAAAUGGAAGUACUCCCUCCGUCCCAUAAUAUAAUAUCUUAUUGCACUCAUUUUGCUCAAAAAUUGGAUGUAAUACGAUCUUAUAUUAUGGGACGGAGGGAGUACAAUUGAUUCAUAUUAUGUGUAUCUUUGUACUCACCAUUGCUGGAUGAAAAUUUGGACAUACAUAGAUAGCUCUAGAUGUAGCCUAAAUGCUUUUUUACUCCUCAUAUAAUCACUGUUGUGAAUCCUUGUGCCUUUGCAACACCUCAUGUCCUAUAGGAAUGAUGUUCUAACCUAUCUGUGUAAAUUUAAAUUUUAAAUAUUGCAAAUAAAUUAGAAGAUAGACAUGCUUCCAUCCAUGCAGCAAGGCCAACAACAUGCAAGAGCACUGCCUUUUUAUUUAGCAUGCCAGUAAUAUUAUAGCUCUGGGGAUAAUAUUCUUGCACACUUUAGAUGCCAUUUGAUAGAUUGGGAGGACAGGUAAAUUUACAUAUGACAGCAGAGUUCUCUUCACCAAGUAUAUGUCAAUACAUGUCUCAAUGGCAUGGCUUUGGGAUCGAGAUCUACCUUGCUAACGUUACAGAUCAAUUGUCAAUAGCUUGUUGAAAAUCUCCCCUUGUUUGUAAUGUAAGGAUCUUAUGUAAUCUUAAGGUUUGCAGCUAAUAGAGAAACCCAAUCCAAGUAAAAGUUUUCAACCCAAUCCAAGUAAAAGUUUUCAGUAUUGCUUAAUUGUGUGAGUGAUUAACACUUUUUGGUUGUGCUGAAUUUCACUCCUACAUAGUUUUAUUGACAAUUUUUAUAUUCCUUUCAUUCAAAUGAGGCACAAGAUAGAUCACAUCUAUCGCAACGUAUUGGAGAUCCAUGCCCCUUGGUGUUCAAGAAAACCAUACUCACCAGAUAUUGCCACAAGGUUACUGGCAAAGCAGUACCAAUCUUGAUGAUUUGUGUAGGCAGGCCACCCAUAUGCUUGAGGAGGAAAUAUUAACGGUGUUGUAUCUCAGGUGGCAUGACUUUUUUUGUAAAGGGCAGAGUGGGUUUCUUUUUUCCCCAAUGAGCAUGUUGAUCCUUGUGGACAAC
Triticum aestivum (bread wheat) is the source of this 2398-nucleotide long non-coding RNA. RefSeq lists it as uncharacterized. The transcript has 5 exons. The record is from RefSeq and is a predicted model, not a curated record. NCBI's taxonomy places the organism in Eukaryota, Viridiplantae, Streptophyta, Magnoliopsida, Poales, Poaceae.